Ovis aries (sheep) is the source of this 72-nucleotide transfer RNA. It matches the Rfam family "tRNA". From Rfam's summary of the family: Transfer RNA (tRNA) molecules are approximately 80 nucleotides in length. Lineage: Eukaryota; Metazoa; Chordata; Mammalia; Artiodactyla; Bovidae. The record is from Rfam.
UCCCUGAUGGCUUAGAGGGUAAAGUGUCCCCCUACAAUGGGGGAGACACGGGUUCAAUCCCUGAGUCGGGAA